Molecule: transfer RNA, 53 nt
Filed under: Habronattus pugillus
Lineage: Eukaryota; Metazoa; Arthropoda; Arachnida; Araneae; Salticidae
Description: tRNA-Leu
Source: RNAcentral
AAUUAAUUGGCAGAAAAAUGCAUUAGAAUUAGAAUCUAAUAAAACUUUAAUUA